UGAGGUCUCAUGACUGUUUAUGUGGUGGCUCGCUGCUCAGGACAUGGAAUCAUUGGAGAUACUCAUUACUCUUUGAAGGCUUACAGUGGAAUGAAUUCAAAUACAACUUAUUUGAGGAAUUGAAGUUGACUUUAUGGAGCUGAUAAGAAUCUUCUUGGAAAAAAAAAGACUGGGUAUAUUUUCAAUAUGCUUUCCUUUUAAGGUCCCUCACCUGUGGAAAGUAAAGAAUGUCACUUUCUGACAGGCUCAGGAACCUCAAGUUAUGUAGGGAUCUCAAGAAGAUGGGGGAAUUCACCCAGUUCAUACAGGUGAAAUUGCUGUUGCGAAGAUUAUGAAUAUGAGAGAAGUCCAGCAUGGCUGACUUCAUCUCGUGUCUGGCCUCAGGCUGGCUGCCCUUGCUCACUCUUGGGCAUAGGCCAAGCUAGCCAUGGGAGGAAUUUAGUUUAUAGUUUAACUUUGAAGCACGGAUGACAAUAGUCUCUCCCUAAAAUGAACCCCUUCCUUGCUCAGGGACUGAAACUACCUUUGUAUGACAAAUGAAAGCCCACAAGAUUAAGAUUAUGAGAGGGGCCUGAAUUCUGCUAAAAUGCAGGUGUAGCUGACUGAUAACAAGUCAUUGUCCCACAGCUUGCCUUUCUAUAAUCUCUUGCUUCUCAGGAGUCACAUGGCCAGAGGUCCUGAGAUUUCCAGUCCUGUGACCCCCACCCAGAGAUGGACUUAAUGCAUGAGGACCAUUUUCCACACCCCUAUGAUUU
This 755-nucleotide long non-coding RNA is filed under the name Pan troglodytes (chimpanzee). Its description in RNAcentral is "lincRNA". The record is from RNAcentral. Lineage: Eukaryota; Metazoa; Chordata; Mammalia; Primates; Hominidae.